CCCAUCUGAGUCCACAACAGUGCGGGGUCCGGGAUCCCGGGGACGUAGCCGGGCAGCUCUCCCCGGACUCUCCCGGGCCGUGGCUGCACUAGAACUCCGCGGUGUUGCCCAGAUGCCCAGCCCCGCACUUCCCUUAGACGCGCGGCUCUCCGAGGGCACCUCGCGGCAGACGGGCUCCGCCUGGCCGUCGCCUGAACUGCCGCGGCGGGUGGCUGGAGGGACCCCAGGCUCAUCGCCUGCAGCUGUGCAGGGCACAGGUGGACCCGCUGCAGGAUGGGUUGGGGAGAGCCGGUGGGCAGACUUAAGAGGAAGCGUUGAGUCGUGGGUAGUUUUGCUGGGGAGCAAAAAAGGUCUGCGUCCUGGGCUAUAAGCUUCGUUGGUGCAGUUGCGGAAAUCACAGUUGGCGGAGGCAGGGGUGAGUGGGAGCAGGGAUGGUGUAAAUCGGGAUCACAGCGGAGGCCUAGCCAGGAAAGCACUGAGCUUGCAGGAGGCGGGAGACUCUUGGUGUUUACGGAGCACUUCCUGUGGUCCAGAUUCUGUUGGGCGUUGGGUGUUGAUAAGAAGAUGAACGGAACAUCCUUAAGAAUCCUUAAGGAGCAGAUGAGUGAGUGAGAUGAUUAAUUACAGUGUAUCAGAAGGGCUGAAAUUGAGAUGCUUCCUAGGGGGCGCUAGUGGUAAAGAACCCGCUUGCCAGUAGAGACGUAGGAGAACUGGGUUCGAUCCCUGGGUCGGGAAGAUCCCCUGGAGGAGGGCAUGGCUACCCAUUUCAGUUUUCUUGCCUGGAGAAUCCCAUGGACAGAGGAACCUAGCAGGCUACAGUCCACAGGGUCGCACAGUGUCGGACACGACUGGAGCGACUUAGCACAUGCAGGCACUGUACAGUAGGACCAUGGGUUAUUGAGGUUCCAUAGUGUGCUUUGCAUUUAAUAACUGUGCAGGCAGCUCUAAUUCUUAGCCAUCUAGCUAGAUGCAAGAAUUUAUGUGAAAAUGUUUUAUAAGCCUGGACACAUUGGACCAAUGUAAAGUGCUAUGCGACAGCAAUUUAUGGAAAUGUGUAACAUAAUAUUUAUGCACAGUCAUAGGAAUUGUAUUUAAGGAACAAUUGUUAUUGAGCUAUUAUAGGUCAAGGAGAAAAGCUCUGUUUGAGAUGGGCAGGAUGAUUUUUUUCCCAGGACUUCUUUUCCAGACCUAUUAAGCUGGGAUUGGGAUAGUGGAGGUGAGGGGCUUAAGUGCAAAGCUUAAGUCAGUAGCUUGACCAUUAAUACUGCUAUGUCCUUAUUUGGUUCAUAAUUGAGGAAUUUAUUUAUUUUCAUAUUUUAAAGUUACUUAAUUGUAUUUUAUUUGUUGCUUCCUAAAGUAAUGAUCACAGUAACAAUAACAAAAAUUCGUUGAGAAGAGAACACCUUGACAUUUCUGUAAACUAUGUGGUUGAAAACAAUUCAUUCCUUUCAAGUAAUGAAAUGCUGAAGGCUUCAGCGUUGAAAGGAGGUUUGGGGAAGGGCUGUAUGUCAGAGCCCUGAGCCUGAAAACAUUUGGCCCAUGUGAAUGCCACAGCAGAGGACGUUCUUAAUCAGACAGCAUGGCCUGCUUUGUGGAUAGCAGUAAGUUCUUCUUCAGAGAGCCUGGUGCUUGCUCAAGGGCUCGAGAACAGAGCGACCGUGGAGACAGGGAUGGAGGCUGGUGCCUGGACCUCAACAGUGCAGACUUCCUCUCACCACGGCCAUCGUGGCUUCUACUGUUGCAGUUUGUAAGGGAUCCUGAGUUCCCCAAAUGGCAGCACACGUCUGGGGACAGCCAGCUGGCCAACUGGGUUGGGUUUUUAUUUUAGACCCUUUUGUCAUGAAGGGAUCACUGAUUUGUUCUCAUUGGAACACUCAUGUUUUUCACUGCACUUGGAUUUGCCUUUUCUACUUGUGCUGCGUCUCUUGAGACCGUAUGAAAUCUUCUGUGAAGGCAUGGUAUUCCUCUCAAGGUUGCCUCUGACCUUCAGAGAGAGGGAAGUGAAGCAGUGGGCUGGUUAAUACCUAUGGUUUGACUGCUCUUGAUUUAUGCUGUCAUUUGAAGCAGCUGAUUUCAUAGACGUGGUUCUUAAACUUCAGUCUCAGAAUUCCUUUACUCUCUUAAAAAUUAUAAAUUAUUUCCUAGGAGGGUUUUUAAAAAAAUGUACUUAGGACCCUGAAGAGGUGUAAAGGAAACCAUAACCACAUAAAUAAUAUGGUUAUAUUUGUUGAUUUUGCUGCUUAAAAAUAUAAAUUGAUAAGUUUUGAAAUUAUGUAUGUUGGCCAUCCGUGGAUCAAAAAAUUUUCAGGGGACAGAAAGAUUACAGAAAGUUCCAAAAAGCAAAACUUGAAUUUUCGGUGUGAAGGCAACUAUUUAUAGACCAUUUAACUUUUAUUUACAACUAUUUCCAUACAUUUAUGGGGGUUCCCUGGUGGCUCAGACGUAAAGAAUACACUUGCAAUGCAGGAGACCUGGGUUCAAUCUCUGGUUUGGGAAGAUCCCUUGGAGAAGGGAUUGGCAACCCACUCCAGUAUUCUUGCCUAACAUACAUUUACAUUGUAUUAGAUUCUAGAGAUGAUUUAUUUAAAGUAUAUGAAAGGAUGUGUCUAGGUUCUGUGCAAAUAAGAUGCCAUUUUACAUAAGGGACUUGAGUAUCUGUGGAUUUUAUUAUUGACAGGGUCCUGAAACCAGUCCACAGCAGAUACCAACGGAUGGCAGGAUUUAAACAUAAUAAAUCAUUACAUUUUGACAAGGAUUUUAAUGAAGUGGAUUAUAUUCUCAAAGCAAAAGAAAACUUACUGAGAAAACUUGCUUGUUUUACAUUUUUGAAUAUCUCUUUAAUGUCUGGCUUAGUAGAAGACCCACAGAUUCUCAUCGCUGCUCCUGCAUUUAGUGUAUUGUAAAAUCAUACUUCAUUUAGCUUUUAGAAGACUCCACUGUGUGCUAUGAGAGGAAGAGAAGAGAACAGACGAAAAAUGUCUUAUUAUCAAAAUAGUUUUGACCUUGUGGGCCUCCUGAAAGGGCUUCUGAGUCCCUGGACCAUCCUUUGAGAGCCUCUGUUGUAAAACACUGUACAUGUCUUAUAACAUUUGGAGAGUCUGGGGUUUCUUCUUUAAUGUUUGUUGUGACCCACAGAUAAUAUUUGGCUUUGGUUUUCGCAUAAUCUGCCAGGAUGUAUUGGGAUCAGGAACUAAAGUAUAGUGUUAGUGCUUGUCUGUUAAGAUGACUCACUUCUCACUCUGGCUGGUUCUGGUUGUUUAAGAGUCAAAGGAUUUGGAUGGUGAUUAACCUUGAUUUUCAAAGGAAAGUAAGAGCCAUUUUCUACUUAUUUGUUACCAUAAUAUAUGUUGAUUGAAAUUUAUUAUUCAGUAGAUAAUAUUUACUAUCAUUUACUAAGCAAUGGCAGGGGCUUCCCAGGUGGCACCUAGUGGUAAAGAACCCACCUACCAGUGCAGGAGACAUAAGAGAUGUGGGUUCGAUUCCUGGGUUGGGAAUAUCCCCUGGAGAAGGAAAUGGCAACCCACUCCAGUUUUCUUGCCUGGGAAAUCCCAUGGACAGAGGACCCUGGAGGGCUACCGUCCAUAGGGUCGCAAAGAGUCGGACAUGACUGAAGUGACUUAGCACGCACUAAGCAGUGAUAGGCAUGAUUUUAAGCACUUUACCUUAUGUACUGCUUCAUUUAGUUCUCAUAAUGACUCUAAAACAGUGCGUCCAUUAUGUUCCUUAUAAGCACAGAUAGGGACUAGAGAGCUUUUAUACCUUUGUAGACUGUGAAUUGGUGUGCUCCUUUGGAGGACAAUUUGGUAAGUACCUAGCAAAACUGAGCACUUUGAUUAUUUUUACUCUAUUUUAGGGGAUUCUGACAAAUAAAAAUAACAUUGGUUGCACAAGGAUACUUAGAAUCACGUUUUGGUGAUGAAAAGAAAGGGAGAGAGAAUUUUAAUGUCCAUUAACAGGGACUGGUUAAUUAUGCUGCAGCCAUAUUGUAGAAUACCGCGUGGCUGUUAAGACUGAAGUGGAUCUGUUUCUGCAGAUGUGGAUGGAUGUCAAUAACACAUUACUGGGUAAAUAAAGUUGUAGAACAAUGUAUGUAUUUGAAAAUCUUUUUGUAUAUGUGCCUGUGUAUAGCAAAUUUCUGGAAGAACAUCCUUCCAGAUGUUAGAAUCGUAAGAAUUAUCUUAUGAUUACUUUUGGAGAGUGAGAUUUGGAGGGGGAGAAGAUAUCCCUUGGUCCUUUAUAUAUUUUGUAUUUUUCAAAGCUUGUAUCAUUUUUUGUAAUUAGAGAUUUGAAUAAACUUUGAGAAAAUCUUA
This is a long non-coding RNA of Dama dama (fallow deer), 4310 nucleotides long. RefSeq lists it as uncharacterized. The record is from RefSeq and is a predicted model, not a curated record. The transcript is spliced from 2 exons. NCBI's taxonomy places the organism in Eukaryota, Metazoa, Chordata, Mammalia, Artiodactyla, Cervidae.